Molecule: ribosomal RNA, 299 nt
Filed under: Heterosigma akashiwo
Lineage: Eukaryota; Raphidophyceae; Chattonellales; Chattonellaceae
Description: partial Bacterial large subunit ribosomal RNA
Rfam family: Bacterial large subunit ribosomal RNA
Source: RNAcentral
UUUGAUCCGGAGAUUUCCGAAUGGGGAAACCCACCGAAAGGUAUCGUAUUCUGAAUACAUAGGGAUACGAGGCGAACCGGGUGAACUGAAACAUCUCAGUAGCUCGAGGAAAAGACAUCAACCGAGAUUCCGAAAGUAGUGGCGAGCGAAAUCGGAGUAGCCCUCGCGUUUUAGCAGUUUGUAUAUCAGAACGGAAUGGAAAGUCCGGCCACAGCGGGUGAUAGCCCCGUAUGAGAAAUGCAGAUUGUGGAACUAGGCGCGAAUAGAGUAGGGCGGGACACGUGAAAUCCUGUCUGAAC